Bactrocera neohumeralis is the source of this 510-nucleotide long non-coding RNA. RefSeq lists it as uncharacterized. The transcript has 2 exons. Lineage: Eukaryota; Metazoa; Arthropoda; Insecta; Diptera; Tephritidae. The record is from RefSeq and is a predicted model, not a curated record.
UGCGUUCGGAGAUUAUGUGUGAAGUGGUUGCGAUAUCUGGAAAAUGUUGUAGGAAUGGUUGCAGUUGAAGGGACGUUUUCAAGUGAGUGAGCAGUGGAAGGUUGUAGGGUGUUUUAUACAAAGAAGAGCACAAGCCGAUUUUAAUGAGUGCAGAAUAAAAGCGUUAAGUAUCAAAGCUUGGAGCUUCAUUGUAAGGAAUUCAGAUUUCCACCGAACCUACCUAGUUUCUAAGAUCAAUAAACAUCUAUACCUUGUUUAGCCUCAGUGGCUACUUGACUUGUGGAAAUCAAUAUAAAUUUAUAGCUCCUAAACCGCGUAUUUACAGCGAAAUACAGAACAGCGGAGGAAGCAGUUAGAUUUGGUUAAAUUAAGAGCUCGACCCUAACAGAUAUCUCACUUGAACAGCUUCGAACGCCGGUCCGUUAUGGUACUUAAAAACUCCUAUAUGUUAUACUGACUUAUAAGAACAUUAUAAAUCGACAAGGCGCUUUGAGCCUUUUGUAUCACAAA